Molecule: non-coding RNA, 146 nt
Organism: Pan troglodytes (chimpanzee)
Lineage: Eukaryota; Metazoa; Chordata; Mammalia; Primates; Hominidae
Rfam family: Metazoan signal recognition particle RNA
About the family: The signal recognition particle (SRP) is a universally conserved ribonucleoprotein. It is involved in the co-translational targeting of proteins to membranes.
Source: Rfam
GCCGGGCAUGGUGGCGCAGGCCUGUAGUCCCAGCUACUUAGGGGGCAGAAGCAGGAGGAUUGCUUGUUCCUGGGAGGUCGAGGCUGCAGUGACCUGUUCGUGCCACUGCACUCCAGCCUGGGUGACAAAGCAAGACCCUGUCUCAA